AUAACCUAACCCUAAUAUCCUCUUUAGCAGCCGCACACCUUCUUCUUCACAACUUCACUGUCGCCUCCUCACACCACAACUCGCCUAAAAAUGCUAAACCGGCAUGUGCUUGGUCCCCUCUCUUCCCCCUUAUCUUCUUCCACACGAAUUUCUUCCACGUGGCCUGACAAAUAACGGAUUUCGUACUAUCCAAUUCUGUCUCGUCCCCUCACGCGCUCUUCAUCUCACACGAAAUUCAUUUGAAGAUGGGGAUAGGAUUAAUGGGGAGCGUAGGAUUGAGUCUCACUCAAUCUACUCCCUCCAUUUGUCUUCUACUUGUUUAACAAAAGAAUUUUGGAUUUUUGGGAAAAAAUUCGAAUUUCUUGGGAAUUAAGUAUAGAAGGUUCGUGAUAAACCUUUAUAUAUGGGGUAUUGACGGAGAGGUUUUUUUUUCGGGGUUCGAAAAAUUGGGGAGUGAGGGCUAGGGUUUGGAAAGAGGGGUUUCUGUUGAUGUCCAUUCUUCAAUUUUAGCUUAAAUUCGAGAAAAACCAAAAAUACAAGAAAAAAAGUUGGAAUUUAGUGUCCUUGUUUAAGUUUUGUUUUCCAUUUCAAAUCUGAAAAAUACCAAAACAUAUAUACGCAUAUUACUGUUCAUUUUGUGGUUUUUCAAUAUUGGGUUUGGCUUCAAAAAAAAAAAGGAGGUCGAUUGAUGUGCUGAGGUUCGGUUCGAGUUUGUUGUCAAGUUCGUGAUUUCGGCUUGCGUUCCCGUCCGAUUCUUGUCGCGGUUUCCUCGCUCAAAUUUUGGUGUCAAGGCCUUGUACUUGCUUAUUUUUGUAUAGAGAAAGGAUUUGCUCAACAGGACUUACGCUUCGCCUCGUCAGAGGUAAAACGACUCGCCUCUCGCCCCCGCCUUUUAAAACACUCACUGGCCAAAAGAUUAGGCAUAAAAAGCUACCCUUCAAGGUAUCUUGUUUUCAUGCUAAGACUAUCGUGAUAAAGAUUACCAAGUGAUGAAGUCAUCAGAAGAUAUGGGCCAAGUAGAUGUCAUUGUUGCAGAUACCCUCAGGAGGACACAAUCCAACAUACCUCUAUAUCAAGUUGGAAGGUCAGAAAAGUUUGGCAAAUUUUUGGAAAUGCAUUUAGGAUAUCUACUAACUCAAACCUGAAACUCUUUUUGAUGAAUUGGUGGAUGGUUAAACAAAGGAAUGAAAUACAUUCAUUUGCUUUGCAAUAUGUUCUCUCUAUAAUUUGUUGGGAGUUAUUGAAAUAAAGGUGCACUGCCUAAUGUAUAGAGCAUUAUUUUUCGGAUUAUCUUCUGCUUACAGUUCAAUUCAAGGGAAUGAACUGGAAUGGCAUAUGGGCCAUUAUUUGUGCCAGAAUUAAAGGUCUAGAACUCAAACUUCAAGUUAAUAUUGUAAAGUGGCAACUUCCUCCAAGUGGUAGGCUGAAAUUGAACACAAAUGGUAGUAGUAAAGAGUUACAAAAAACUGCAUGGAUUGGUGGCAUUGUUUGAAAUGAAAGUGGAGAUUUAAUUAUGGCUUUCUCUAACCAAUUCAGUUCUGCACUAACAAUGUUGCAGAAGCUAAAGCUGCCCUGUUUGGAAUCUCUUGGUGUCAGUUUAAUAUGAUAGGUAAUAUUGUCUCGGAGAUGGACUCUAUGCUCAUAGUUACUAUGCUGAAAGGAGCCUUCAAACCUUCUUGGGACAUUAGAGAUGAUGUCAUCGAAAUACAAGCUACUAUUGCUCAGUUGAAAAUUGAAGUUCAACACUGCUAUAGAGAGGCAAACACUGUUGUUGAUGCCCUGGCAAAAUGGAAGCUCAUUACAAAACCUACCUCUAUAGCUAAAAUGUUCGUAUAUCAGUUCAGGAGCGCGCUGUCUUCAACUGGAGAAAAUAUGGGUUCCUAAUAAGGAUUAGACAAACAAAACUAUCACAUCAACUUGUUAACCAGUGUUAAUGUUUAUGCUUUUCACAGUUAACUCUUUGGUGAUCACAUUGAUAUAUUAUGUAAAAGAGGAUUCCUCCUCAAAUGCAGUUUUCUUGCCUUUUCAAUUGUCGUCUAGAAUGGCUAAGGUAACUCUUCAUCUUGUACCAGAGGCAAAGGUCUAUGUCCUCCUCCAUCUUAUGCUAUUUUGUGACUCUA
Molecule: long non-coding RNA, 2120 nt
Organism: Nicotiana tabacum (common tobacco)
Lineage: Eukaryota; Viridiplantae; Streptophyta; Magnoliopsida; Solanales; Solanaceae
Source: RefSeq, a predicted model, not a curated record